This 889-nucleotide long non-coding RNA is filed under the name Salmo salar (Atlantic salmon). RNAcentral's name for it is "lncRNA (ENSSSAG00000099825.1, ENSSSAG00000114753.1)". Lineage: Eukaryota; Metazoa; Chordata; Actinopteri; Salmoniformes; Salmonidae. The record is from RNAcentral.
CUACCACCAGCUCAUCAAAGAGGGAACGCUAGGCUAGGCUACCACCAGUCCACUCCUUGAUAAUCUUAUACCCAUAAUGACCAGAGAUGAAAUGUCCAUUGAGACUGAGGGGGCAACGAGACACUGCUUUAGUGGGGGUAAGGUCACACAGUUUGUAUCUCAAAUGGCAGCCUAUUCCCUACAUUUGGGGUUCUUAAACUUUUUCAGCCUGAGACCCAAAUGAGAAACUGACCAUCCUCCCAUGACCAAAAUAAGAAAAAAAUACUGUGUGAUAAUCUACCACUUUGGGAGUCGUUAUUAUUUAUAUUAGUCUCCAUAAGGAAUAGAAACGAGUGGCACAUCUAUAACAUAUUUACUACAACAUCAUGAAUUCUGUGUUAUGUGGUGAUCUCCCAGAGUCCUGUGUGUUGAUCUCCCAGAGUCCUGUGUGUUGAUCUCCCAGAGUCCUGUGUGUCGAUCUCCCAGAGUCCUGUGUGUCGUUCUCCCAGAGUCCUGUGUGUCGUUCUCCCAGAGUCCUGUGUGUCGAUCUCCCAGAGCCCUGUGUGUCGUUCUCCCAGAGUCCUGUGUGUCGAUCUCCCAGAGUCCUGUGUGUAGUUCUCCCAGAGUCCUGUAGCCUGCUCACCAUCACCUCUUAUCACAUCACACUGGCCAUGGAACACCUCCGAUCCAAAAUGGAAGCCAGUUUCCUCCUCCUCCCACUCAUUCCUUAUGACACCAACUGCCACCUGCAUUACUGGUUUGGGACCUGACAUUAGACAGACAGUAAAUGAUCUGGGGUCUGUGUUCCAGGUGGUGCACUGUGACCUACGAUCAUUUCUUACAGACAGUAACCCAUACACACAGCUACAGAACAUUUAUUAGUCCUGAUCUCUGACCUGUACUUACAGGU